Molecule: ribosomal RNA, 490 nt
Filed under: uncultured bacterium
Lineage: Bacteria
Description: partial 16S ribosomal RNA
Rfam family: Bacterial small subunit ribosomal RNA
Source: RNAcentral
AUUGAGCGCUGGCGGCAGGCCUAACACAUGCAAGUCGAACGGUAACAGGAAACAGCUUGCUGUUUCGCUGACGAGUGGCGGACGGGUGAGUAAUGUCUGGGAAACUGCCUGAUGGAGGGGGAUAACUACUGGAAACGGUAGCUAAUACCGCAUAACGUCGCAAGACCAAAGAGGGGGACCUUCGGGCCUCUUGCCAUCGGAUGUGCCCAGAUGGGAUUAGCUAGUAGGUGGGGUAACGGCUCACCUAGGCGACGAUCCCUAGCUGGUCUGAGAGGAUGACCAGCCACACUGGAACUGAGACACGGUCCAGACUCCUACGGGAGGCAGCAGUGGGGAAUAUUGCACAAUGGGCGCAAGCCUGAUGCAGCCAUGCCGCGUGUAUGAAGAAGGCCUUCGGGUUGUAAAGUACUUUCAGCGGGGAGGAAGGGAGUAAAGUUAAUACCUUUACUCAUUGACGUUACCCGCAGAAGAAGCACCGGCUAACUCCGUG